GAUGUAACACGCACGCUGACGGAGCACGGGAGCUUGCUCCUGGUGGCUAGUGGCGAACGGGUGAGUAAUGCGUCGGAACGUGCCGAGUAAUGGGGGAUAACGCAGCGAAAGUUGUGCUAAUACCGCAUACGCCCUGAGGGGGAAAGUGGGGGAUCGCAAGACCUCACGUUAUUCGAGCGGCCGACGUCUGAUUAGCUAGUUGGUGGGGUAAAGGCCUACCAAGGCGACGAUCAGUAGCGGGUCUGAGAGGAUGAUCCGCCACACUGGGACUGAGACACGGCCCAGACUCCUACGGGAGGCAGCAGUGGGGAAUUUUGGACAAUGGGGGCAACCCUGAUCCAGCCAUUCCGCGUGAGUGAAGAAGGCCUUCGGGUUGUAAAGCUCUUUCAGCUGGAGUGAAACGGUGCGCUCUAACAUAGCGCGCUAAUGACGGUACCAGCAGAAGAAGCACCGGCUAACUACGUGCCAGCAGCCGCGGUAAUACGUAGGGUGCGAGCGUUAAUCGGAAUUACUGGGCGUAAAGCGUGCGCAGGCGGAUUGUUAAGCAAGAUGUGAAAUCCCCGGGCUUAACCUGGGAAUGGCAUUUUGAACUGGCAGUCUAGAGUGCGUCAGAGGGGGGUGGAAUUCCACGUGUAGCAGUGAAAUGCGUAGAGAUGUGGAGGAACACCGAUGGCGAAGGCAGCCCCCUGGGAUGACACUGACGCUCAUGUACGAAAGCGUGGGUAGCAAACAGGAUUAGAUAUCCUGGUAGUCCACGCCCUAAACGAUGUCAACUGGUUGUUGGGGGAGUGAAAUCCCUUAGUAACGAAGCUAACGCGUGAAGUUGACCGCCUGGGGAGUACGGUCGCAAGAUUAAACUCAAAGGAAUUGACGGGGACCCGCACAAGCGGUGGAUGAUGUGGAUUAAUUCGAUGCAACGCGAAAAACCUUACCUACCCUUGACAUGUCCAGAACCCCUGAAGAGAUUUGGGGUCCUAGNCAGGGGUUGAACACANGGCNCCAUCAACUGC
RNAcentral lists this ribosomal RNA (1010 nucleotides) under uncultured Thiobacillus sp. Its description in RNAcentral is "bacterial SSU rRNA". It matches the Rfam family "Bacterial small subunit ribosomal RNA", at positions 45 to 1052 of the family's 1533-position model. Lineage: Bacteria; Pseudomonadati; Pseudomonadota; Betaproteobacteria; Nitrosomonadales; Thiobacillaceae. The record is from RNAcentral.